GUCAGGCGAGGCAGCCACCCAUGAUGAGCUCUGCAGCCUUCCCGAGGUGGCCGCCUCGCAUCCAGGUGCCCCGUGUGCCCGGCCUGGGUGGCUCUGACUGCUCCUGCAUGGUGGAUACCAGCGUUCCCACUGUUGGCAGCUGUGCCACCUCCCUGUGCCAGGCUGUGUGUGCUCACGCUCAGCCCAGUCUGCCUUUGUGCGGUCAGACUGAGAGACCCCCAGGCAGGUCCCGCCUGCAACAAGCAGACCCCAUGUGUGCCCCAAAUGCCCCCUCACCCGGGCCCUGCCCUGGUGGAUGUUUCCUGGGAGCAAACUCCCAGAAUGGCUGCCGGGCCCCACUCGGCUUUGGAGCUUCUGAUUCCUAUGGGUGCUUCUCAGGUGCUCCUCAGGUCAGGGCCCUGCAGGUGGGAAGCACCAGGCACUGGGGUGAGGGCACUGUGGGGCCAGCUGCGUGCAGGCAGGGGUCUGAUCACCAAGCACCUGUCCCCUG
This 490-nucleotide small RNA is filed under the name Pongo abelii (Sumatran orangutan). RNAcentral describes it as "retained intron". Lineage: Eukaryota; Metazoa; Chordata; Mammalia; Primates; Hominidae. The record is from RNAcentral.